UACGGGGGGGGCAAUCGUUGUUCGGAAUUACUGGGCGUAAAGGGCUCGUAGGUGGCCAACUAAGUCGGACGUGAAAUCCCUCAGCUUAACUGGGGAACUGCGUCCGAUACUGGAUGGCUCGAGUUUGGGAGAGGGAUGCGGAAUUCCAGGUGUAGCGGUGAAAUGCGUAGAUAUCUGGAGGAACACCGGUGGCGAAGGCGGCAUCCUGGACCAACACUGACACUGAGGAGCGAAAGCCAGGGGAGCAAACGGG
RNAcentral lists this ribosomal RNA (253 nucleotides) under uncultured bacterium. Its description in RNAcentral is "partial 16S ribosomal RNA". It matches the Rfam family "Bacterial small subunit ribosomal RNA", at positions 524 to 776 of the family's 1533-position model. The record is from RNAcentral.